UACGUAGGGUGCGAGCGUUAAUCGGAAUUACUGGGCGUAAAGCGUGCGCAGGCGGUUGUGUAAGACAGGCGUGAAAUCCCCGGGCUCAACCUGGGAAUUGCGCUUGUGACUGCACAGCUGGAGUGCGGCAGAGGGGGAUGGAAUUCCGCGUGUAGCAGUGAAAUGCGUAGAUAUGCGGAGGAACACCGAUGGCGAAGGCAAUCCCCUGGGCCUGCACUGACGCUCAUGCACGAAAGCGUGGGGAGCAAACAGG
RNAcentral lists this ribosomal RNA (253 nucleotides) under uncultured bacterium. Its description in RNAcentral is "partial 16S ribosomal RNA". It matches the Rfam family "Bacterial small subunit ribosomal RNA", at positions 524 to 776 of the family's 1533-position model. The record is from RNAcentral.